GACGAACGCUGGCGGCGUGCUUAACACAUGCAAGUCGAACGGUGAACCUCUUCGGAGGGGCUCAGUGGCGAACGGGUGAGUAACACGUUGGCAACCUGCCCCCGUCUCUGGGAUAACUCCAAGAAAUUGGGGCUAAUACCGGAUUUUCACCGCUUCCCGCAUGCGGGGUGGUGCAAAGGGUUUCCGGCUGGGGGUGGGCCCGCGGCCUAGCAGCUUGUUGGUGGGGUAGUGGCCUACGAAGGCCACGACGGGUAGCCGGCAUGAGAGGGUGACCGGCCACACGGGGACUGAGAGAGGGAGCAGAAUGCAACGGGGGGCAGCAGGGGAGAAUAUUACGCAAUGGGCGGAAGCCUGACACAGAGGCGCCGCGUGGGGGAUGACGGCCUUCGGGUUGUAAACAUAUUUCAGCGGAGACGAAGAGGAAGUGACGGUACCUGCAGAAGAAGCCCCGGCCAACUACGUG
RNAcentral lists this ribosomal RNA (463 nucleotides) under uncultured bacterium. Its description in RNAcentral is "partial 16S ribosomal RNA". It matches the Rfam family "Bacterial small subunit ribosomal RNA", at positions 28 to 507 of the family's 1533-position model. The record is from RNAcentral.